Molecule: unclassified non-coding RNA, 399 nt
Filed under: Bombus terrestris (buff-tailed bumblebee)
Lineage: Eukaryota; Metazoa; Arthropoda; Insecta; Hymenoptera; Apidae
Description: misc RNA ENSBTSG00005030851.1
Source: RNAcentral
CUCGCAAUCCUCCUCUUUCGUCGUCGUCAUCGUCGUCGUAGUCCUCGUGGCUAGUCGUCGCCGUUCGUUCAUUCGUUGGUUGGGGGAUAGGUGGGUCGGAAGGUAAGGUAAGGUUCGUUACGUUGGUUCGCCUAGCAGGCACCGGGCCCAAGGAGAGUCCUCUUCUCUGCACGGCUGUGCGUAAUGCCCCUGAUACGACUUUGUCGGUAUUAUCUGCUCGCCGGGCUCCCGGUGGCUCCGUAAAAACAAGACCGCCGGAGAUUUAACCCUCGAUAUGGCGACCACCGGAAUAUCGUGAAGGCCUCUCCCCUCACGGACACCGCUUCGAGCGGACUUCUCUGCACGAUUAACGGCUCAUUUGGAAUCGCAACUUACAAUUAGCGUCGCUUCGUGUCCUUU